Molecule: long non-coding RNA, 700 nt
Organism: Nicotiana tabacum (common tobacco)
Lineage: Eukaryota; Viridiplantae; Streptophyta; Magnoliopsida; Solanales; Solanaceae
Source: RefSeq, a predicted model, not a curated record
CCUAAAUCCCCAAUGUCAUAAAUUGUACGACUAAAUCCCUAAUGUCAUUUGUUGUGCGUUCAUUUCAUGAAAGUAACCAGCCUUCAAAUUCAAGGUUUGUUCAAGUCGUCAUCGACAACCUCUGUUCAGGUUAAGUUCAAGCUUUGUUCAAGUCGUCAUUGUCAGCCUCCAUUUAAGACAAGUUCAUCAUCUUGAUUUCAGAACUCUCUUUUCGGAUGGAUUCUGGAAAGGAUAUGGAGGUGAUUGUCAACAAUCCUUCGACUAUGCCAGUGGUGUCUCAACAACAAGAAUAUCUAGACUCACCUUUGAGGAUUGAUUAGAUGGAUAGUUAACUAUAAUUUUCUCCUGGACUAUUUUUGGAAUCAUGACUACUUAAAGGUAUUACAAAAGAUUAUCCCAAGGAAAAGGAUGGAACUGCAAUGAAUCUCCCAAAGAUUGGAAUUUGGGUCAUUAUGCCUUUACUAACAUUCUGGAACAUGCUCCUCUGGAUUAAGAUGCCCAACUUCUUAGAGUUUAAUAUAUUCUCUUUUGGUUUAUUUUCUAUAAUCUUGACUAUAGUGUCUACUCUUGAAAUGUUGGUGAUAAUUCAUAUGUAGAGUGCAAUAUAAUUUGCAGUUUAUCUUUUUUGCAGUCUAUGACUCUUGGUUGUAACUAUUUACAAAUAUUUCAGGUAAUUCUAUAACUCUUGGCUAUAAUUCUA